CACGUUACUGGUUCAUACUCAUGUCAAUCAAACUCAACGUCACUAAAGGGGCGGGGCCAAGCGGCAGAUGGCUUGUGUCGUCAUCGACUCGUGCGCAGACGUUGCCGGCCGCGCGGCGCAUGCGCACUGCCCUCCCCCGCCGCCUCGUCGCGCCCUCUCCCCUCCCCUUGAUGUGAGGCCCGGCCCGGGAAGGUCCCGCCCGCCGCGGUGCCUUGAGCCUGAGGCGGAGACGCGGCUGCGCGGGCGGUGUGGGGGUUUGCUGCUCUCCCAUAUCGACUUUGGGGCGGAGUAAGGUGCUGCCCCGCCUCGGGUUUCCCCCCUCUUUAGCUGAAGACCGUAAGCGUCAGCCGGCCGCGGCCUGUCCGUGUGAAGAUGGCCGCCGGCCGAGCGGGUCGACGUGCAUCAAGGCCCAGCAGGCCCGUGUGGGCCGACAGGGAUGUGUGGAGCACUCGUACCAUUCUGACUGUUUUCCUGCGGUUUUUAUAUUCUUACUUGUCGUUUACUUUGUGUCAGAAAGCAUUCUGACAGAUGGACGUGACAGAAUUCCUUUGUGCCCGCUUUAAACACGAAUUCAGAGCACCUUAUAUUCCCUUCAGAACACAUGCUUGUGUCUAACUGCUCCAGCCGUGCUACUUUAAGUCAAAGCAAAUGUUCAGGACAAGCCGUGGCUCGUAACAGAUGUUGCUGUGUGAGCAGACGUGGUGUUUCCCGCUGUCCGUGCCUCCCCUGUGAAAUACCUGCGGCUCCACAAAUAACUGGCUCCAAGCACAGAGCAUCUGAUGCAGUCAAUGCCCUUGUGUGCUGAGAGCAGGGAACCUCCUGUCCAUGGUCAUGAGCCAGCACAUAGCUCUGAGGGCACGGCCGGGCUCUGGCUGCAGCACAGCGCAGCACUGUGGGAGCUGUAGUUUCCCAGGGCUACAAGGGAACCGCAGGCUGUGCUGCAUUAUGAGGAGCACUUGGUGAGGAAGUUUUCUCAGCCCAGCGAUGAGAGCUGGGGGAAGAUGACUGUGUGUGUGUCAGAGCAAGGAAGGGCGAUGACUUCAGCAGGCAGCCUGUUGAGGAACGAGCAGUGAGGCAGCACUGCGGAGUGUUCUGCAGCAGAAGGCCUGGCAAUAAGUGGUGACUGCUGGCAUCCUGGGAGUCUCCUCGAGUCUCACGUGUGUCUGAGAUGAGGGUGACAGUGGAUUCGAGUGACGGAUUAAAACGUUAAAGCUCUCCAGUCCUUCAAGGAAAAAUUCAAAUUUCCCCAAAGAAAAGCCAGAGUUCCUUGACAUGCCUCAUUUCUUGGGAACCGUUCCUGCAGGACAUCUGCAAUAGUUAAACAUUUUUGUUUCUAGCAUAAGGAUUAAAGAAUUGUCCCAAGCAGCCGAGCCAACACCAGGCUGCUGACUGCAAAACAUCACGGAAACGCGUUCCAUUUGUACCAUCCUCAUUCAAGUGUCUCUUGCAUAGUAAAAGCAUUUUGCAACACAUACGGGCCACCGGGAGUUUAUUCAUGUCAUUGUUCAAUGAAGAAAUGCCAUACGUGAGCAUCUAGAGAAGGACAGAUUUCUUUAAAUGCCACCAAAUGUACUGUUUUGGAAAAGAAUCAUGUCUGCUAAGUCAAAACAAGAUGACAGAUCUACAAAGGCUCGUCCAAAUGGAAUGCCUCCUAUUUUAUGAUGUUGGUACACAGCGUUGGAGGUGGAUGUUGGUGGGACAGCAGUAGAUGUUGAACCUUCCCAGUCAAAUCCCAUUACAUGUUGGUGCUGUGUGACAGAUGGCAGCAGAGGGGCACUCUGACAGCGUGGAGUCUGACAUGGAAGUGUGGGUGGAGCAAAGGUGUGUCAUUGAAUUCCUUCAUGGGGAAAAAUAUGGCACCCAUUGACAUUAAUUGAUGUUUGAUGAAUGGUUAUGGAGAACAAAGAGCAGAUGCAACACAGCGAGGGGGUGAGUGGUGUGUUUCAGCAGUAGCAAUAGUGAUGUGAACAAAUCUGCUCUAUCAAACAGCGUUGCUGUGCUCUUUGAAUCUGUUGUAGUUUCCAUAGAAAUAAAUAGGAGGCAUUACUUUUGGAGUGACCUGAUGGAAAGAUGUGGUCUAUGCUCUUCCUGCUCUAAUAGCAAGUUUUCUUCUGUCUCCCUCUGUUUCACUGAGAUGAGCCUAUUUAGUAUAAUGUCUAUGUUAAUUUUUCUGUACACAAGCGUUCAAUUAGUACAAUAUGUGUGUAAUUGCUUGUUGUGUUCGCUAAUCAUGUGGCUAAAUAAUCUCUCCAUAAGUAAAGCAGGAAGAAUCAUACACCAUCAGUCAAGGAAAACAUGAGUAUAAGAAUUCCUACAGAAAGAUUCUGUGAAAGUCUUAAUUCUCAAGAGAAGAGGACACACUCCAUAAGCCUUGAUGCUGCUGCUGCUGCUGAGCCGGCCCUUUUCUUUCUUGCCUUUGGUCCAGGCUGGUGUUUCUACAAUCAUCCUUGAUUUUGCUGUAGGAGUAUUUGCUCAGCACUACAAGAAAUGGAAUUCAUUAUUUCACUGAUCAAUCUGUUUUAUGUUCUGUCUUUGGGAAACUGAAAGAGGUGGAUUCAAAAAUAACAGGGAAAGAAUGAGGAAGCUCCUCCAGGCAGGGACCGGCACUGAUGGAGCCAGCAGAACAGGAAGAACAACAAAAUAAAGACCAAUAGGCCUUUCUCGUUCAUGCACGUUAUUGCUAUUUGUCUUCCUUGAGGUCUCGUAUACCCAGGAACUCCCCCGUCAGCCCUUGCUCUCUUCAGUUUCUUGACAUAAUGCUUUCUGGUGGGAAUUUCCAAACUGCUCUUGAAGAAUUAACCUUUGAAGAGUUCUGGCUUCCUGAUUAUUAACACGGUGUGAAAAUCUUUUUUGCAAAAGCAGUGAUUUUAUUUCCAGAGUAAAAGGAAAGAAAAGGCAAUGAACCUGGGAGAAAGAAGAGAGGGUGAGUGUGAGCACAAGCUUUGCACGAGGUGCACAUGUCUGUGCCUGUGACAGCAGUUCCCUUGCAGCACUUCAGGCUGCUCCAGCUCUCAGGCAGAAAGCUCUGAGCCAGGCACUUGUCCUGCAAAGUGACUUACAGUACACAUUAAACAACUGUGCUUCUCUCCAGGGCUGUGCCCUGUCACAAGAUCUGGGUCCCUGCAUGAGUUUCCUCACUCCCAGGAACCCCCAUCUGUGCUGUUUCAUCCUUCCUCCCCAGGGCUUCCACCUACACAUGGAAAAUCCCUUCCCGUCUGGCAAUGGGUAUGGCAAUGGUGCUCCCUCUCCCACCUCCUCCCACCCCCACACCCACAUGGAGCUGCUUCCCUUCAGCCACUGACUUUGAACUCUGACUCUUUGGCUUUUUCCACAUUGUUUGUGCAGUCCCUUAAAAACCAGCUGUGUCUCCCCGCCUGCAGUUCCUCCAUGUGUUCCUCUGCUGUCAUUUUGUUGUAUGUAUGGGAUAAGACUACAUCUCUACAUCUCUUCUCACAUGGUAGAAGAUAAUAUAGGAUGUCCCACAAAUUUCUAGAUAGCCAAUCCUCAAGCUUUUGAUUGUCAUAUCUCAAAAAUAGCCUGUCCAUAUAUCUAAGCACCCCCCAGCUUCCAAAAACCCAUCCCUAGAGUGUAACAUAAUGUUAUUCCAAAUCAGACCAACACUCUGCCUUUAGUACUUCUCCAUCACUUCCACCAUCUGAUGCUUAACAAAGCUCCAACACACUGGGACAAGUAGAUAAAUUCAGCAGUGCCUCCAGCUGGUGGCUUUACUCCUUUCCAAGGCACAGACAUCUGGAGCACCAGGUCACACACUCCCGCUGCCAUCAGCUCACUUUGCUAAUGAGUCUGGACUGCAGCAGCCAAAGGGCUGAUUCACAACUGCCUGAGCUGUGCUUACUUGGAGGGCAGCGACAUCCGGCAAGAGGAUGGGAAAGGUGACUAACAGCAGUGACAUCUUUAGGCAUAUACUGACCCUUGCAAUGUAGUAUUUCUGUGACUCUGCAGUUGCUGACCCAGAGGGAUAUCCCAUACAAUUGUUUAGAGAUGUAGGAAAUGAGAACAUUGGACUGGAAAAAGUUUCCUACUUCCUUGAAAGUAGCGCCUGGCUGCUGCACUGAGGAAUGAGCCACAGGUUGGAAGUAUCCUCAAAAUGUUGAAACAUCAGGACACCUUCAGGAUUAAAUUACACUCCUUUAUUAUAAAUUGUUUUCAGCUCUCAAAUUGUAAUCUGUGGAGAGGAAGGCAUCGAUUGCAUUGGGUUUGCAGGUCUGCAAAUGUGUAUGUGUAAAUGUAUGCAUUGAAAAGGUGGACAUGAGUCUUAGGGCUCUCACGACUCACACUCUGUGAGCUAAAAAGAAGUUACUGGCCUGUAUUUGCCCUGUUUGCAGAUGUUUUUUUGCAGAAGCUGCUGCAUAUAUGGGAAAAAAUCCUUCCAUUUAUCAAGACGUUACCUUGAGCAUUGAGGCAGGAGGUAAAAAGAGUACUGAUAACUGCAGUCUGCUAAAACACUGAAGUAGCCUCCAGAGAAGGCAGGAAAAUUCAAGUGUCAGAGCGGGUUGGAACUACAUGAUCCUUGAGGUCCCUUCCAACCCGGGUAAUUCUGUGAUUCUGUGGGUUCCUACAUGCAUCACAUCACUGAAGGCAGCAGCCUUCAACCCUGGCAAAGCACCGAUGAUUCUGCAAGGACUUCUUUUGCCAGGUACAAUUAGGAAGAAAUGUUGGAGGAUAUUAAAUACAAAUAUGAGUAUGUUUGGUGGGAAAGGGAAAUGAAGAUAGGAAUCCUGCUUUUUGCUUAAUGCAGUAACUGCAGACAUCCAUUACAUUGUCUAAUACCCCAAACCAAGAUGUAAAUGCUGACCAUAUACAGCCCAAACUACCCCAAAGAUGUAUUUUUCUUCCAGUCUUAUCAAGAUAAUUAAAUGCCUCCAGUGUGAAACAACACUCCACUCCACUGGAUAGGAUGGGUUACCUGCAAAGCAAGGCACUCUGAAUGAUGGCAGCCAGCUUUGUGCUGCAGUGUCAGCACCACCUGAAUGCUUGCUGCUCACAUUCAAAAUACAAACCAGCUUGUAUUAAAUAUAAUUAAUAUUCAUUGCUACACGUUGAGAUUGAAUAAAGGUAGUCAGAUGCCACAUUUGGCUUUGACUUCACCGCUGUGGAAGUGUUAAUCCUCGCUCUCAUCUUGCCUCCCACAGUCUGUUGCCAGUUCUACAUCUAUAUUUCUUAAAAGCUCAGCUUACCAAACUCCCCUAAAUGUGAACUACUGCUGAUAAUAGGAAGGAGCGCAAUGAUGUGAUUCCACCUGCAAACAACUCUACCAGUUUCAGUUCCAUUUCAGGACUGCAGCUAAAUUCAUCCUUCCUAUUUUUAAGUCUUCAAAUGGAAUUGCCCCAGGGAGCCUUCCAGAUGUUUAUCUCUGUGCUCCCAGCCCUGCUCUUUCUAUUAGUCUAAUUGGUAUCUUCCUCCUCUCUGCGGCACAGCACAAUCCUGGCAUUGCUGGUGUGAGGAACUCCUCCACAGACCCCACAUAUAGCAGCAGUUUUCCAGCAAUUAACUCUCAGUCUUUGCUCAAAUACGUGUACUGAUAUCUGCAGCAUUCCUAUUUAAAUAUUCCUCUGAAAGUCACGGCAAAGAGGAGGACAAGCUCGCAUCUCAUUUGUUUUCAAUGGCUUUUAUGAAGCAAGAGAGAAGAUACCUUUUUUAUUCUGCCCUGGAGUUUUGGCUUGCUUGUGCUUUGACCUCUUUGGCUUUGCUGGCUGGCACAGAGCAUAGAGAAACCAGGGGGUGGCAGUGACAAUAGGAGCUGACAUCCGAACAAUCAGGGGGCAAGAGUUCCUAAUCCAACUUCUUCUGCAUCCUAUUGACCUCCGAUUCCUAACAAUACUUAGGAGACAACCUUCUCAGGGAAAAAAAUCAACGGUCACAUCCCUACCAACAACCAGAGGGCUUCAACUUCAGCCCUUUGGAACAGGAACAGCAAAGCUUCAUCAUUUCAUUGUUCCUUUUACACACCAAAACUGAGACUUUUUUGUCUGUUGUGCUGAGAAUUUCCGACCUGAAAUCGCAUCUCAGGACACUGAAGGACAUUGCACUGCCUCUGAGAUCUGCCUGCUUGGAGCUCCCUGCAGGAUCAGAGCUCACAUCUGAAAGUUAUAAAAACAAUCAUGUCCUCGAGAACCUGGUUUUAUUCAUUGCAAAGCAAAAUCUAUUUUCCCAAGUUUAUCUUUAAACUGUUUUUCUGUUAUUAGAUUCACUCGUUCUAAUUUGUUCCCUUUCUAGGAUCUGUUCUCUGCUGCUUACAACAAAAAGAUGAAUUCGCCCUAUGCUGGGACAUUCAUCUAGAGUAAAAAUGCCAACUGCAGACAUCUCAGUUGCCUUGUUCUAUUUAAUCACUGCGAGAUUUAGUGAGGUUUGCUUGUUAAACAGGCUACAAAAAUAAUCUUCAAUACUGGAAUCCGAUCCAUCCAUGCAGACUCCGCUGACUUCAUUGGGUUUACACGGGCUGAUCAAAUUGCAGGAUCAGUUCCUACAUUUGUUCUGAGCUCUGCCAGACUGUAAAUACGAGAUUGAAAAGAAAUCAGAUCCACUUCUUAAUGCACGGCUGUCCAACCUUCUGGAGUGCCUGGGCCGCACCGAGUAAAGAGGAAUUGUCUUGGGCCACAUAUACAUAAGUUGCUCUGAAAGUAAUGCCUCCUAUUUAAUUCCAGGGAAACUACAACCGGCACAAAGAGCACAGUAACAAUAUUUGAUCAAACAAAUCCUCAGCUACAAAACGCUGCUUUUCAACACAGUCACCACUGUUAGCUGCGCAUCUUUGCCACUGAUGAACAGCAGCCUGCAUGCCAUGCUUAUAGAAAUCUGCACCAGUGAACGUGACCCACUGUCAUUGCUUUUACUCCUCCUGAACGUCAUCCUUGACAACUGUUCUCAAAUGUGUGUGCUGCCAAAAUAACACCUAUUGAAUAAGGUGUGGCUGUGAAGCGAAGGUUAUUUCUCUCUGCUAAGAGAGAUGUUGUGAAAGUCUGGUAAAGAGACACGAUCAGAUUGUAGCAUUGAAUGCCUGACUGCAGAUCUAUACACGCAGGUGAUGUAUUUGUAUGAACUGGAAAUGGUGCCACAGACAUAAAUUGAUGAUAUUUUUGGCAAUCUUGAAAGCUAUUCUCAACCCCCUUUAUCAAACCGGAAGGCACAGCUGCAUGUUCUUUGCUGUACAGAGCACUGUGUGUAGCCCAUGUAUCAAACAACAUACAAUUCUCUGCCAUCACUUGAGUCAGCGCUGUGCAGCACUGCCCUCCCUGUGCCCUGGUUUCAGUAUUAGUAGCAGUUUGGCUGUUGAGAGCAAUGGCUGUGUGCCUGGGGCCACUGAGUGGGGCAGAGCCACUUCUAUAGUGUGGGGCAGAGGGCAGCCUGUGGGUUGGACAUACCAGCCUUAAUGUAUGAUGGAUAAUUCUAACAUGACAACUAUUCAACAUAGCUGUAGCAUCACCCAUGCUGAUGCUAUAAGAGUAAAGUUUCUGUUCUUGGUGUCUUCAAGAACCUCCUGGGGAGACAACACAGAAAGAAAUCCUUUCUAUGAAAGAUGUGGCUUUAGGAGUCUUCUCAAAAAAUAUACUUUAAAUCACAUUGUAAAGCUUGAAACUACGGGAUGCAUUCAGGUGUAAUGGAUUUCCCACCUUUUAUUAUUAAGGAAUAAUGAUUUAUGUGUCUCCUUAAAAGCUAAUGGUUGUUCAAUUAAAGAGAAAUCAUUAAAC
This is a non-coding RNA of Coturnix japonica (Japanese quail), 7709 nucleotides long. NCBI's taxonomy places the organism in Eukaryota, Metazoa, Chordata, Aves, Galliformes, Phasianidae. The record is from RefSeq and is a predicted model, not a curated record.